UUAAGCGACUAAGCGUACACGGUGGAUGCCCUGGCAGUCAGAGGCGAUGAAGGACGUGCUAAUCUGCGAUAAGCGUCGGUGAGGUGAUAUGAACCGUUAUAACCGGCGAUUUCCGAAUGGGGAAACCCAGUGUGUUUCGACACACUAUCAUUAACUGAAUCCAUAGGUUAAUGAGGCGAACCGGGGGAACUGAAACAUCUAAGUACCCCGAGGAAAAGAAAUCAACCGAGAUUCCCCCAGUAGCGGCGAGCGAACGGGGAGGAGCCCAGAGCCUGAAUCAGUGUGUGUGUUAGUGGAAGCGUCUGGAAAGGCGCGCGAUACAGGGUGACAGCCCCGUACACAAAAAUGCACAUAUUGUGAGCUCGAUGAGUAGGGCGGGACACGUGGUAUCCUGUCUGAAUAUGGGGGGACCAUCCUCCAAGGCUAAAUACUCCUGACUGACCGAUAGUGAACCAGUACCGUGAGGGAAAGGCGAAAAGAACCCCGGCGAGGGGAGUGAAAAAGAACCUGAAACCGUGUACGUACAAGCAGUGGGAGCCUCUUUAUGGGGUGACUGCGUACCUUUUGUAUAAUGGGUCAGCGACUUAUAUUCUGUAGCAAGGUUAACCGAAUAGGGGAGCCGAAGGGAAACCGAGUCUUAACUGGGCGUUAAGUUGCAGGGUAUAGACCCGAAACCCGGUGAUCUAGCCAUGGGCAGGUUGAAGGUUGGGUAACACUAACUGGAGGACCGAACCGACUAAUGUUGAAAAAUUAGCGGAUGACUUGUGGCUGGGGGUGAAAGGCCAAUCAAACCGGGAGAUAGCUGGUUCUCCCCGAAAGCUAUUUAGGUAGCGCCUCGUGAAUUCAUCUCCGGGGGUAGAGCACUGUUUCGGCAAGGGGGUCAUCCCGACUUACCAACCCGAUGCAAACUGCGAAUACCGGAGAAUGUUAUCACGGGAGACACACGGCGGGUGCUAACGUCCGUCGUGAAGAGGGAAACAACCCAGACCGCCAGCUAAGGUCCCAAAGUCAUGGUUAAGUGGGAAACGAUGUGGGAAGGCCCAGACAGCCAGGAUGUUGGCUUAGAAGCAGCCAUCAUUUAAAGAAAGCGUAAUAGCUCACUGGUCGAGUCGGCCUGCGCGGAAGAUGUAACGGGGCUAAACCAUGCACCGAAGCUGCGGCAGCGACACUAUGUGUUGUUGGGUAGGGGAGCGUUCUGUAAGCCUGUGAAGGUGGCCUGUGAGGGUUGCUGGAGGUAUCAGAAGUGCGAAUGCUGACAUAAGUAACGAUAAAGCGGGUGAAAAGCCCGCUCGCCGGAAGACCAAGGGUUCCUGUCCAACGUUAAUCGGGGCAGGGUGAGUCGACCCCUAAGGCGAGGCCGAAAGGCGUAGUCGAUGGGAAACAGGUUAAUAUUCCUGUACUUGGUGUUACUGCGAAGGGGGGACGGAGAAGGCUAUGUUGGCCGGGCGACGGUUGUCCCGGUUUAAGCGUGUAGGCUGGUUUUCCAGGCAAAUCCGGAAAACCAAGGCUGAGGCGUGAUGACGAGGCACUACGGUGCUGAAGCGACAAAUGCCCUGCUUCCAGGAAAAGCCUCUAAGCAUCAGGUAACAUCAAAUCGUACCCCAAACCGACACAGGUGGUCAGGUAGAGAAUACCAAGGCGCUUGAGAGAACUCGGGUGAAGGAACUAGGCAAAAUGGUGCCGUAACUUCGGGAGAAGGCACGCUGAUAUGUAGGUGAAGCGACUUGCUCGUGGAGCUGAAAUCAGUCGAAGAUACCAGCUGGCUGCAACUGUUUAUUAAAAACACAGCACUGUGCAAACACGAAAGUGGACGUAUACGGUGUGACGCCUGCCCGGUGCCGGAAGGUUAAUUGAUGGGGUUAGCGGUAACGCGAAGCUCUUGAUCGAAGCCCCGGUAAACGGCGGCCGUAACUAUAACGGUCCUAAGGUAGCGAAAUUCCUUGUCGGGUAAGUUCCGACCUGCACGAAUGGCGUAAUGAUGGCCAGGCUGUCUCCACCCGAGACUCAGUGAAAUUGAACUCGCUGUGAAGAUGCAGUGUACCCGCGGCAAGACGGAAAGACCCCGUGAACCUUUACUAUAGCUUGACACUGAACAUUGAGCCUUGAUGUGUAGGAUAGGUGGGAGGCUUUGAAGUGUGGACGCCAGUCUGCAUGGAGCCGACCUUGAAAUACCACCCUUUAAUGUUUGAUGUUCUAACGUUGGCCCGUAAUCCGGGUUGCGGACAGUGUCUGGUGGGUAGUUUGACUGGGGCGGUUUCCUCCUAAAGAGUAACGGAGGAGCACGAAGGUUGGCUAAUCCUGGUCGGACAUCAGGAGGUUAGUGCAAUGGCAUAAGCCAGCUUGACUGCGAGCGUGACGGCGCGAGCAGGUGCGAAAGCAGGUCAUAGUGAUCCGGUGGUUCUGAAUGGAAGGGCCAUCGCUCAACGGAUAAAAGGUACUCCGGGGAUAACAGGCUGAUACCGCCCAAGAGUUCAUAUCGACGGCGGUGUUUGGCACCUCGAUGUCGGCUCAUCACAUCCUGGGGCUGAAGUAGGUCCCAAGGGUAUGGCUGUUCGCCAUUUAAAGUGGUACGCGAGCUGGGUUUAGAACGUCGUGAGACAGUUCGGUCCCUAUCUGCCGUGGGCGCUGGAGAACUGAGGGGGGCUGCUCCUAGUACGAGAGGACCGGAGUGGACGCAUCACUGGUGUUCGGGUUGUCAUGCCAAUGGCACUGCCCGGUAGCUAAAUGCGGAAGAGAUAAGUGCUGAAAGCAUCUAAGCACGAAACUUGCCCCGAGAUGAGUUCUCCCUGAGACUUAGAGUGUCCUGAAGGAACGUUGAAGACGACGACGUUGAUAGGCCGGGUGUGUAAGCGCAGCGAUGCGUUGAGCUAACCGGUACUAAUGAACCGUGAGGCUUAACCUU
This 2902-nucleotide ribosomal RNA is filed under the name Escherichia coli HVH 35 (4-2962667). RNAcentral's name for it is "bacterial LSU rRNA". It matches the Rfam family "Bacterial large subunit ribosomal RNA". The record is from RNAcentral. Lineage: Bacteria; Pseudomonadati; Pseudomonadota; Gammaproteobacteria; Enterobacterales; Enterobacteriaceae.